This 79-nucleotide transfer RNA is filed under the name human gut metagenome. It matches the Rfam family "tRNA". From Rfam's summary of the family: Transfer RNA (tRNA) molecules are approximately 80 nucleotides in length. The record is from RNAcentral.
CGGAUAUGGCGGAAUUGGCAGACGCGCCAGACUUAGGAUCUGGUGUCCAGGACGUGGGGGUUCAAAUCCCUUUAUCCGC